UCGGGAAUUUUGGACAAUGGGGGCAACCCUGAUCCAGCCAUGCCGCGUGAGUGAAGAAGGCCUUCGGGUUGUAAAGCUCUUUCGGACGGAACGAAAUGGUUACGGAUAAUACCUGUGACUGAUGACGGUACUAUUUAUAAGGUCCGGCUAACUACGUGCCAGCAGCCGCGGUAAUACGUAGGGACCAAGCGUUGUUCGGAUUUACUGGGCGUAAAGGGCGCGUAGGCGGCAAUUCAAGUCAUCUGUGAAAUCUCCGGGCUUAACUCGGAACGGUCAGAUGAUACUGCUUUGCUAGAGUGCAGAAGGGGCAAUCGGAAUUCUUGGUGUAGCGGUGAAAUGCGUAGAUAUCAAGAGGAACACCUGAGGUGAAGACGGUUGCUGGGCUGACACUGACGCUGAGGCGCGAAAGCCAGGGGAGCAAACGGGAUUAGAUACCCUUGUAGUCCCUGAGCGGGCUGGCAAGGCGCAU
RNAcentral lists this ribosomal RNA (469 nucleotides) under uncultured bacterium. RNAcentral describes it as "bacterial SSU rRNA". It matches the Rfam family "Bacterial small subunit ribosomal RNA", at positions 355 to 825 of the family's 1533-position model. The record is from RNAcentral.